UUCUACCUUGACCCCUUUCGGUUCCCCACUCUCGCGGAUGAGCAUCGCUUUCCGGGGAGAGAGGUUGCAAGGAAGCUUGCAACGAUGCGAGGAAGAGCCGCCUUCUUCUGCGUGGCGCGCCCCCGCCCUCUUCUUGCUCGCUGGAAUUGUUCGUCGUUCUCCGCCUCUUCCCCUCAGGAUCUCUCGACGGUGGCCGCGUGCCCCUAUUGUGGCUGUUGGAACUCGAUAACGAAGCAGAUUUUCUCCUCAUGCCCUUCUCAGUUACUUCUCUCCUUUGCAAGAAUCUUUCUCACCCCAAAAACCGAGGCAAGAAUCACUUCUCACCCCAAAACCCUUGCAAGAAUCCUCUCUCACCUUGAAAACCGAAUCUCUUCUCACCGCCGAAAUCCUAGCAAGAACUCCUUCCCUUCCCAGAUCUCUUCCAAACGCCUAUCUAGAAUCCCUUCCUUCCCUUCUUAGGUCACUCGCUCCAUGGAAAUAAAGCAAGAGCGUUCUUCCUAUACUCUCUGAUCGGCGUCCCCGUUCUUGUCACGCAGGAACCCAGCCGAGGUGGUCGCUUGCCCUGAUCGAAUGAACGGCUGUGUCUUUGAUCCGUUUCCAAGCUUUUGAAUUUGCCACAGCAUCACAUUGUGAGACAGUAGUAUGGAUGGCCAAGUUUAGGCUUAGGACAUUGGCUUUAUGGAGGGAGAAAUUGAAGAGAGUUUUAUGGAAACCAAGAAUGAGGUACUCUUUACAAAUGUUUUCUGUGUAGGGAUAAUCACGGUUAUGCAUGCUCGUCACCUUUAGAUCAAGAUUCUGGAUGUUUAGACUAAUUGUUUUUAAAGAAAGGUUAUUAUGUCUGUUAUUUGGUAUUAAGCUUCUUAGUAUAGGAGAAGUAUAUUUUGUCAUUAUUUAAACAUAUUUCAUUGUAGUGAUGCACUUUAUUCCAUUAUUCUCUUUAUAUUUUUUCCUGUAUGUGGUUGUUUUAUAUCGCCUAUUGAUUCUCAUUGAUGGAUGUCUGACAUAAAAAAUUCAACUUAAUGCUGAUUAUGAUCAAAAUUAUUUAUACUCUUCAUGACAUUUUAGAUUCUACAGUAUGCUAUUUAUCGCAUUAUGCUAUUUGAGAUUCUGCAUUAUGCAUUUAUCAAAAUUUUACUAUCUAUUUGUCUCAUUAUGCUACACUUGAAUUUCUAUUAAGACAUUCAGACGUCUUCAUUUCAACUACUAUCGAACCUUUGUUUAAUAGGAGACUUCUCCGAUGGUUAUAGUGUUAUUAAGCCCUUCUCAUUACUUGAUGAAGUAUUCUUUCAUUUUACUCUGUUUUAAAAUAUUUAUCCUAAAUUCUCAUAUUUACUUGCUUGUGCGCUUAAAAGUUUUGUAUAGGACAGUGAUUUAAAAAGCGUUGUGCGCCAAGGUCCCAAAAUGCUCAAGACACUAGGUGCUCGCCUAAACGCUCAGCUCGAGCAAAGCGAGGCACUCUAAAAUAUUAAAAUAUAAAAAAAAUAUAAUAUAAUUGAUAAAUAUGAUUAUAUAAAUAAAAAUACGAUAUUAAACUAUUGUUAACAGUAGUUGGAGGGGAAGAAAAGAACUGUUAAGAGGGGGAGAAAAAGUUAUCGAUAGUGGAACUUUCGGACGACAAUUGUUGCGGUGGAGGAAGCUGCAGAUGGCGGUAGCGGUAGCGACGAAAGUUGUGGAUGGCAAUAGCGACAACGGUAGAAGCUAUAGAUGAUGACAUCGUGGGCGGAGGAAGCUUCAAAGGUGUGCGUCCGUUGGUGGUGGAGGAAGCUACGGUCCUCUCCCUCAAUGAUUGAAGGAGCUGCACACGGAAGCAGCGGUAGCAGAACGAAGUUACGGGGGAAGGCUAGGCUGUCAAACCUGUCUAUUGGCGACAAAGGAAGCCUCGGUCCGUUGCAUCUAUGGCAAACAGACGUAAAACUUUGUUUCAGUUACUUUAUUUAAAUCAGGCGCUUGCUUGAGACACUCAAUGCCUAGGUUCAGGCGAGCGCUCAGGUCACACCUCACUGAAGCACGACGCUUGGUCCACCUUGAGGCAGUUAGGCCUUACCUUGCCCAAGCACCUAGGCGAGCGCUCGUCUAUUUAACCCAUUGGUAUAGGAGAGAUUCAAAUUUGUGAUAUUUUGUAAUCUUGUCUGCAUUAUUACUUAUUCUGGCAAUAGCUGGUAUUAUAGCCAACUUGUGAUUUUUUUUUGGCCAAAUGGAUGGGUACAGUUAGACACAGUCUUCUUACAUAAUAUAUUCAAUUUUUUUUUUUAAUGUCAACUUUCUUAUUGUUCUUGAGUACUACCUUGGGCUUUAAGUUUGAUCUUGCACAAGUGGCACUGUUAAUUCGACUAGUUCUAUGCAUAAAAAUACAUUUUGAUCACCUUUGUUAGACUUGGAUUUUAGUCUAAACUUGGUUGAUAAUAAAAAUUCUGGCAAUAGCUGGUAUUAUAGCCAAUUUGUGAUUUAGCUGGCUAUUAUAGAAAGAAAAAUAAAAAUGAUAAAAAUGAUCUAAUUAAAGGUUAAUUGUUGGAUAGAAUUAAUUAUUUAGCUGGUUCGUUGUUACUUGAAGAGUAAAAUUUUAAAACAAAUGCAUACCUUGUAAGAACUUUUAAUGCAUAAUAAAAGUAUUUUCUAAUGUUCAUAAAAUACAUUUAAAUAUUAAUAGUUUUUACAGUAAUUUUACGUAUUAAAUAAUAAUAAUAAUAAUAAUUUUUAUACAGUAAACACAUCUUGAUUGAUUGAUAAAACACGUUAGUAAGAUAUUUAGUGAUGCACUUUCUCGAUAAUAAGAUUAUAAGAUAAAUUUCUCAAUAAUAAGAUUAUAAGAUAAAUUUCUCAUGAUGGAAUCGAACAUGUUUGGUUUACUAAUAAUAAUAUAUUAAUAACAGUCACCGGAAUGAACUAACUUUAAUUUCACUUUGAACCUAUUGUUAUAGAAUAAUAACUUAUUUUUGUCUUCAGAUGCUUGCUGGCAUAUAUGGUAAUUUAGAAUUAUUUUUACAUUUUAUAAAAUUUAGUUAUUUUUUCCCCCUUAUUUUGGGGUGAAAGUAGUUAUGUUAACAUGUUAGUGUGACUUACAUUAUUAAGGUGUCGAAUGGUAUCAGUGGUUUGUCAAAUGUUCAGGUAUGUCUCUUGGGAUUUUGUAGUCAUAUUAAAAUUAUUGCACGUUUAGAUUGUGGAUGACAAUUAAUCUUGAUUCGA
Musa acuminata AAA Group (dessert banana) is the source of this 3183-nucleotide long non-coding RNA. RefSeq lists it as uncharacterized. The transcript is spliced from 3 exons. The record is from RefSeq and is a predicted model, not a curated record. Lineage: Eukaryota; Viridiplantae; Streptophyta; Magnoliopsida; Zingiberales; Musaceae.